This 460-nucleotide ribosomal RNA is filed under the name uncultured Thiobacillus sp. RNAcentral's name for it is "bacterial SSU rRNA". It matches the Rfam family "Bacterial small subunit ribosomal RNA", at positions 923 to 1382 of the family's 1533-position model. Lineage: Bacteria; Pseudomonadati; Pseudomonadota; Betaproteobacteria; Nitrosomonadales; Thiobacillaceae. The record is from RNAcentral.
GCACAAGCGGUGGAUUAUGUGGAUUAAUUCGAUGCAACGCGAAAAACCUUACCUACCCUUGACAUGCUAGGAACUUGCCAGAGAUGGCUUGGUGCCCGAAAGGGAACCUAGACACAGGUGCUGCAUGGCUGUCGUCAGCUCGUGUCGUGAGAUGUUGGGUUAAGUCCCGCAACGAGCGCAACCCUUGUCAUUAAUUGCCAUCAUUCAGUUGGGCACUUUAAUGAGACUGCCGGUGACAAACCGGAGGAAGGUGGGGAUGACGUCAAGUCCUCAUGGCCCUUAUGGGUAGGGCUUCACACGUAAUACAAUGGUCGGUACAGAGGGUUGCCAACCCGCGAGGGGGAGCCAAUCCCAGAAAACCGAUCGUAGUCCGGAUUGCAGUCUGCAACUCGACUGCAUGAAGUCGGAAUCGCUAGUAAUCGCGGAUCAGCAUGUCGCGGUGAAUACGUUCCCGGGCCUU